UACGGAGGGUGCUAGCGUUGUCCGGAAUCAUUGGGCGUAAAGCGCGCGUAGGCGGCCCGGUAAGUCCGCUGUGAAAGUCCAGGGCUCAACCCUGGAAAGCCGGUGGAUACUGCCGGGCUAGAGUCCGGAAGAGGCGAGUGGAAUUCCUGGUGUAGCGGUGGAAUGCGCAGAUAUCAGGAGGAACACCAAUAGCGAAGGCAGCUCGCUGGGACGGUACUGACGCUGAGGUGCGAAAGCGUGGGGAGCAAACAGG
Molecule: ribosomal RNA, 253 nt
Filed under: uncultured bacterium
Lineage: Bacteria
Description: partial 16S ribosomal RNA
Rfam family: Bacterial small subunit ribosomal RNA
Source: RNAcentral